UACAGAGGGUGCGAGCGUUAAUCGGAUUUACUGGGCGUAAAGCGCGUGUAGGCGGCUUUGCAAGUCGGAUGUGAAAUCCCACGGCUCAACCGUGGAAGUGCAUCCGAAACUGCAUCGCUCGAGUCUCGGAGAGGAAGGUGGAAUGCUUGGUGUAGAGGUGAAAUUCGUAGAUAUCAAGCAGAACACCUGCGGCGAAGGCGGCCUUCUGGACGAUGACUGACGCUGAGACGCGAAAGCGUGGGGAGCAAGCAGG
RNAcentral lists this ribosomal RNA (253 nucleotides) under uncultured bacterium. Its description in RNAcentral is "partial 16S ribosomal RNA". It matches the Rfam family "Bacterial small subunit ribosomal RNA", at positions 524 to 776 of the family's 1533-position model. The record is from RNAcentral.